This 253-nucleotide ribosomal RNA is filed under the name uncultured bacterium. RNAcentral describes it as "partial 16S ribosomal RNA". It matches the Rfam family "Bacterial small subunit ribosomal RNA", at positions 524 to 776 of the family's 1533-position model. The record is from RNAcentral.
UACGGAGGGUGCAAGCGUUACUCGGAAUCACUGGGCGUAAAGGGCGCGUAGGCGGCCUAGCAAGUCUGGUGUGAAAGCCCAGGGCUCAACCCUGGAAGGGCACUGGAAACUGUUAGGCUUGAGUUCGGGAGAGGCGGGGGGAAUUCCCGGUGUAGCGGUGAAAUGCGUAGAUAUCAGGAGGAAUACCGGUGGCGAAGGCGCCCCUCUGGACGGAAACUGACGCUGAGGCGCGAAAGCGUGGGGAGCGAACAGG